This 970-nucleotide long non-coding RNA is filed under the name Homo sapiens (human). Its description in RNAcentral is "non-protein coding TBX2-AS1:6". Lineage: Eukaryota; Metazoa; Chordata; Mammalia; Primates; Hominidae. The record is from RNAcentral.
CUGGGAGAAGGUGUCGGAAGCCUCAGCAGUAAGAAAACAUGUCAACAGAAUAAAAUAUUAACCAAUGACGGGCCGCCGGGCCCCGAGACCCCUCCUCCUGCCCCGGCCCCCACCGCCCGCCCGCGCCUGCGGCUGCCUGCGCCGGACUGGAGAGCGCGGAGGGCCGACCUGACCCGCCGAAAGGGCCUGAGGCGAGGGGAGCCCGGGUCCCGGGGCCUUGGGGAAGGACCCGCAGCCGCACGCCGGCCCCAAGUGCAAAGCAUUGACACGACCCCGAGCGGAGAGGGGGCGCCCUCCUUCUCCCGCGCCCAGAGGCCCGGCCGCUCUGGCCCGAGCCCCAGCCUGGCCUCCGACCCAGCUCCGGGUCGUGGCGCCGCCUGGGGGUCCCUGCGCCCCGGAAAGAGACAGCAGGCACUGGAAAGCGAGGCCGGUGGGCGGGCGAGUCGGGAGGCUCGGGCGGCCGAGGUCCGGGAGCGGAUCCCAGGUGGCGGGAGCUGGUGAGUGGAGCCAUGGCCGAGCCCUGCUGGGGCCGGCGCGGGCGGGAGCGGGACGCGGCCUUGCGCUGGGGAAACGCGGGGACCCCCUACCCGCGCCCGCCUUCACCGGAAGACUCGGAAGGAACCUGGAGUUCUCCGCAGGCCCGGGCCCCGCCCUGAGCUUUCCAGCGGCCGGGAGGAGCGGAUCCUCGGGGCCAGGAAGGUGCCCUGGCAGGAGGGACUGGCUUAUGCCACCCUGUGCAGGAUCGUCUUCUCAGCUUACAGAGCCUAGUGUGAUUCAACAACCCUCCAUCUCUGCCCCCAACAUGCCCAACUGAUCUGGUGGAGGGAACUGAAGAUGAAGGCCUCUCAGGCACCAUGGAUGGGAUGGGUGUGUGUGAAGGGGGCAGGGUCCCCAGGAGCUGCCCCAGGUCUGGCUGGACAGUUGCACGGGAAGUCCUGUUUGUGAACUCAACGUUUCCACGGCUUUUCCA